RNAcentral lists this ribosomal RNA (460 nucleotides) under uncultured bacterium. Its description in RNAcentral is "partial 16S ribosomal RNA". It matches the Rfam family "Bacterial small subunit ribosomal RNA", at positions 338 to 795 of the family's 1533-position model. The record is from RNAcentral.
CCUACGGGUGGCAGCAGUGAGGAAUAUUGGUCAAUGGACGAGAGUCUGAACCAGCCAAGUAGCGUGAAGGAUGACUGCCCUAUGGGUUGUAAACUUCUUUUAUAUGGGAAUAAAAUGUUCCACGUGUGGGAUUUUGUAUGUACCAUAUGAAUAAGGAUCGGCUAACUCCGUGCCAGCAGCCGCGGUAAUACGGAGGAUCCGAGCGUUAUCCGGAUUGAUUGGGUUUAAAGGGAGCGUAGGUGGAUUGUUAAGUAAGUUGUGAAAGUUUGCGGCUAAACCGUAAAAUUACAGUUGAAACUGGCAGUCUUGAGUACAGUAGAGGUGAGCGGAAUUCGUAGUGUAGCAGUGAAAUGCUUAGAUAUCAGGAAGAACACCGAUUGCGAAGGCAGCUCACUGGACUGCAACUGACACUGAGGCACGAAAGUGUGGGUAUCAAACAGGAUUAGAUACCCGGGUAGUC